CUGUAUCGUAUGCAAACCAUCAUACUUGUGUAAACUUGCAAACUAAUGAUUUGGACCCCAUGAUGCUCAUCCAAAGGCUGUGGAGAGAGGUGGGACUUUUUUACAUUUAAUACCCCGCCAGGCACUAGUAAUUGUGUUUUAUUUUUCAAAUAACCCCCUAAUCACCCGAUGGUCCAGUAGAGAAAAAACCCCCUAAUCGCUCCAGUCUUGUAAGUCAGCCGCCGCCGGUCCAUCUUCGUAUUGUAUGCGCUGCGUCUCUUCGACUCUACUGCCGCCGCUGCUCCUCGUCGUGACUCACCGGCCACCGGACUCGAAGAUGCUGCCCACGGACGUCGCCCCGUUGCUGCCCACGGAUGUCGCCCCGUUGCUGCCCACG
RNAcentral lists this long non-coding RNA (376 nucleotides) under Sorghum bicolor (sorghum). RNAcentral's name for it is "long non-coding RNA (SBIC_LNC018316)". The record is from RNAcentral. Lineage: Eukaryota; Viridiplantae; Streptophyta; Magnoliopsida; Poales; Poaceae.